UUACAUCAGACGUAAUCUGCCGCAAAAAUCAUGCGGUUUCCGCGUAAUUGGAUACCUUGGCGAAAAGCCAAGCUAAUACAUGAACCAACCGGAUGCCUUCCUGUCAACCCCGGGCGUCGUUUAGCGUGUUUGGUCACGCGGCGGCGUUCGGGUGGAAGCGUCCAGCGAAUGAAUGAAAGUAAAACCAAUGCCGCGAACGCGGCAGUAACACGAGCAGUGUUGAAUCAAUUCAUUCCGUGCGUAAGCUGACUUGUUUCAGCGUCUUUUGACGAACAACUGCCCUAUCAGCCAAUGAUGGCCGUGUAGUGGACUGCCAUGGCGUUGACGGGAGCGGGGGAUUAGGGUUCGAUUCCGGAGAGGGAGCCUGAGAAAUAGCUACCACUUCUACGGGAGGCAGCAGGCGCGCAAAUUGCCCAAUGUCAAAACAAAACGAUGAGGCAGCGAAAAGAAAUAGAGCCGCCAGUCCCCUCUAAAGGGAUUGGCGGUCACAAUGGGGGAUAUUUAAACCCAUCCAAUAUCGAGUAUCAAUUGGAGGACAAGUCUGGUGCCAGCACCCGCGGUAAUUCCAGCUCCAAAAGCGUAUAUUAACGCUGUUGCUGUUAAAGGGUUCGUAGUUGAAUUGUGGGCCGUUCGAGAUGAUCCUGGCUAGGUCCCGUCUAUUCCUGACCUUGGUGACCCCAGCGCUCGCGGCUCGUGAACACAUCCAAGAAACAAAAAACACGGGAGUGGUUCCUUUCCUGACUCACGCAUGUCAUGCAUGCCAGGGGGCGCCCGUGAUUUUUUACUGUGACUAAAGAAGUGCGACCAAAGCAGUCCGUUCGACUUGAAUUAGAAAGCAUGGGAUAACAAUGAAGCAACCUAUGGUACUACCGUUUCGGCUUUUGUUGGUUUUAAAAGUCUGUGGGAGAUUAUGGGGCUGUGCGACCAGCGUGCGCGGGGGGGGCCUCGCGUCCUCUUCGCCGCGCCUUCGGGGUUGGUUUCUCUCCUUUCGGGGCGGGCCUUCCUCGACUCACGGCAUCCAGGAAUGAAGGAGGGUUGUUCGGGGGAGAACGUACUGGAGCGUGAGAGGUGAAAUUCUUAGACCGCUCCAAGACGAACUACAGCGAAGGCAUUCUCCAAGGAUACCUUCCUCAAUCAAGAACCAAAGUGUGGAGAUCGAAGAUGAUUAGAGACCAUUGUAGUCCACACCACAAACGAUGACGCCCAUGAAUUGGGGACCAUUUUGGCUGUGGGGGGCCCCGUGGGAAGUUCACUCUUCCUGCGUCCCCCCACACCAAAACCUAACAACUUACGUGCAUAUUCUUUCAGGUCACACACUAGGGCGUCGCCUUCGGGCGGCGCUCGUGUGGCCACAUUAGGGAAUAUCCUCAGCACGUUCUUUUUUUCUUCACGCGAAAGCUUUGAGGUUACAGUCUCAGGGGGGAGUACGUUCGCAAG
Molecule: ribosomal RNA, 1437 nt
Filed under: Trypanosomatidae sp.
Lineage: Eukaryota; Euglenozoa; Kinetoplastea; Trypanosomatida; Trypanosomatidae
Description: SSU rRNA
Rfam family: Eukaryotic small subunit ribosomal RNA
Source: RNAcentral